Molecule: non-coding RNA, 29 nt
Filed under: Homo sapiens (human)
Lineage: Eukaryota; Metazoa; Chordata; Mammalia; Primates; Hominidae
Source: RNAcentral
GCCUGAGUGUCCUUUGUGGUAGUUCUACC